UUUAAAUAUGUUACAGUCUUUAUUCAUCAUGGUUGGUCACUCUAUAUAUAAUUGUUGCCUAAAGUAACAAAUCUGUAGCUCGAGAUGCAUCACACAGUUGGUAUUGUGACGGAAUGCACGCACACUCGAACAGUUCAUUGUAAAUUAAGUGCCCUUCAUUAUUCUGGAUAUGAUCACACAGCGCAUCGGUUAGUUUACUUUCUCAAAGUAUUCCUUCGAGCCCUCCGGAUUGGGUUUAAUCUGCAAUAAAAGUCAUGGCCAUUAAAACAAGCAAUGUAGCGUAUCUGAGCCCAUUUCAGAUUGAAUAACUACUAAUUUAUUCACAUGAAAAGACUGGACACUUUCUAGAGUCAAUUUCACUGCCAAUUAUACAGAAUUUAGGAAACCAUAAAGAUACAUACCAUUCAAUAUAUCUGUACAUUUCAAUGGCCUCUGCCCUUAAAGACAGGAAGAGGCAAAGACCUCUAAUGUAAAGUAUAAAACUGGAGCUACAAGUGCUGUACAUUUAUUAACAUUUAAAGUGCCAUGUAGCUGCAUGAGCGGUUUACGUUUCAGCAGAUGCAGAACAUCUCUGGUAC
Non-coding RNA from Pelobates cultripes (western spadefoot toad), 578 nucleotides. Lineage: Eukaryota; Metazoa; Chordata; Amphibia; Anura; Pelobatidae. The record is from the annotation of a GenBank genome assembly.